AAGCUAUCUUGAACGUGAUGAAUUUUGGCGGGAAAUCUUGAGGCGGAUUCUCGCGAACGGUUCGAUCGUGACGUCAUACUCCCUAGACUCUGAAAUUCAAACCGUUCAACACAAUUAGCGCGUAGUCAUACACUUUGAAUUAGAGGUUCUGCAUAUACUUGCUUUAUUCUUUUAUGUAUGGACACACAAAACGACAAUUAUUAUCAACCAAUUGUGUGAAUAUGACGAAAGCGCUACGUCAUUAUGACGUCACGUCCUCAAGCAGGCUUCAGACCCGCGCAAAAUCGCCUUCAGUUCGACUCGCAGCGUUGAGUCGGAAAGUCGACACUGAACACCGAGCACACGCUGCCGCCUGUGAGCCGCGUUGUCGCGAUGGCGGAAGACAUAGAGCAAGUCUUCACGGCGGAAGAAUGGCAGUCCUUCCCGGAGAUCGAGAAGAAGCGCUUCGAGAAUAUUCUCAGAAAAUACAAAAUGAUGGAAGAGUUGGGGGAAGCGAGCUUAUGUGCUGGUACGGAGACGGUUACGGGAAGGAUCUAGGCCUGUCAAGAGAGCCGUCCAAGUGGAAACUUGCAGAGAAGGAUUUUAAAGGUAUGCAGAUCGCCAGUGUGAAUGGUGCAGCAUAGUAUACAGCUUUAAAGACUACUUAAUGCGUCACCUAAACGUGUGCAGAAAGCGCAUUCACACUGACACAGCAUUGGCAUGCGCCACGCGAGGAAGCACUGGCACACCU
Molecule: long non-coding RNA, 730 nt
Filed under: Penaeus japonicus
Lineage: Eukaryota; Metazoa; Arthropoda; Malacostraca; Decapoda; Penaeidae
Description: uncharacterized LOC122261020
Source: RNAcentral